GUACCUAUAAAGGAUCCGUCGUGGCGUUAGACUAGCGUCAAGCCCCCCAACUAGUCACGAGUCGCAAAGCAUGGGGCACAAGUCGGUUUAGACGGAUCCGCCGGUGGGUGAUCGUGUUCCAAAUUUUUGGGGCACAUGACGGUAUGCUCGAGACAAAUUCAUUGGUGGGUGAUCGUGUUCCAAAUUUUUGGGGCACAUGACGGUAUGCUCGAGACAAAUUCAUUGGUGGGUGAUCGUGUUCCAAAUUUUUGGGGCACAUGACGGUAUGCUUGAGACGAAUUCAUUGGUGGGUGAUCGGUUACCUAGUGAGAAUAUAUUGAAUGGAUUGUGGCCUAUAAAGAUCAGUUGCAUAUUAUGAUUUGUUGUCUAGCGUCCCUAUGGUUACUUCACAUGUCCCGAUGCUUGUCUAUAACAAUGCUAGGCUUCAAGACGGUUGGUUAGUGAUUGGUUACCUAGUGAUAAUAUACUGAAUGGAUUGUUGAGCGUUGGAAACAAGGAUGUACAAACACCAAUCGGCCUUUGUCCCGAUUGCUGAGUGUUAUGUGCUUGAUGUUGAAGAUUCUUGGCGUCUUUGAUGUAUAUUACAUAGAUAAUCAGUUGCUUUGCAGCAUAAUAGAGCUAAUCAGUUGGCUUGCAACAUAGCAAUUUUGUCUUAGAUUUCAUUGAGGCAUGGUGAUCAUAGGGAUGGGAAGGUGGCUUUCGAGAAUUUUCGCAUCGUUCGGUUCAUUUUGGGGGCUAUUUUGGCUUUUGGUUGCCUACAUGGUGAUUGUGCUAUGUUGGUGGCUAAUUGUUGGAUGGUCUUUGAGUAUGUAGGCCGUAAAGGUGCAUGAGUGGUGUUUGGUUUGUUAUGGGUGGUUGGCUCUUUGCUUGUGCAACAACUUCCACCUGUCUUACCUUUUCAGAAUAUGUUUGGGCUUGGUUAGUCUAAGCAGUUAUUGGGUUUUCUGUGCUCACUACCUAUGUUAUGGCAUUCUCCUGAUUGAUUGGUGUUACUUUUUGAUGUGUGUCAUUGUCAUGAUACAUGAGAACUUUGAAGUAGUCCUUUGUACCGCAAUCUUAAUGCAUGUGUUAAUCUUGUGGCUCAGUAGGUGUUGCUUGGUAUCUUGAAUACAGAAUUUGAUGUGGGCAAAAGGGGUUUCUUGUAUCCUUGAUUUGUCCUUAUUCAGCGUUCAGACUUUAAGAAAAUGACUGUUUAUCCCGUCUUGUGCUUGUGCUAUAGCGGGGGAGAUGUCAAAGAAGAAUGCUAC
Molecule: unclassified non-coding RNA, 1247 nt
Filed under: Marshallia grandiflora
Lineage: Eukaryota; Viridiplantae; Streptophyta; Magnoliopsida; Asterales; Asteraceae
Description: external transcribed spacer
Source: RNAcentral